GAUGAACGCUGGCGGCGUGCCUAAUACAUGCAAGUCGAGCGAACGGACGAGAAGCUUGCUUCUCUGAUGUUAGCGGCGGACGGGUGAGUAACACGUGGAUAACCUACCUAUAAGACUGGGAUAACUUCGGGAAACCGGAGCUAAUACCGGAUAAUAUUUUGAACCGCAUGGUUCAAAAGUGAAAGACGGUCUUGCUGUCACUUAUAGAUGGAUCCGCGCUGCAUUAGCUAGUUGGUAAGGUAACGGCUUACCAAGGCAACGAUGCAUAGCCGACCUGAGAGGGUGAUCGGCCACACUGGAACUGAGACACGGUCCAGACUCCUACGGGAGGCAGCAGUAGGGAAUCUUCCGCAAUGGGCGAAAGCCUGACGGAGCAACGCCGCGUGAGUGAUGAAGGUCUUCGGAUCGUAAAACUCUGUUAUUAGGGAAGAACAUAUGUGUAAGUAACUGUGCACAUCUUGACGGUACCUAAUCAGAAAGCCACGGCUAACUACGUGCCAGCAGCCGCGGUAAUACGUAGGUGGCAAGCGUUAUCCGGAAUUAUUGGGCGUAAAGCGCGCGUAGCGGUUUUUUAAGUCUGAUGUGAAAGCCCACGGCUUAACCGUGGAGGGUCAUUGGAAACUGGAAAACUUGAGUGCAGAAGAGGAAAGUGGAAUUCCAUGUGUAGCGGUGAAAUGCGCAGAGAUAUGGAGGAACACCAGUGGCGAAGGCGACUUUCUGGUCUGUAACUGACGCUGAUGUGCGAAAGCGUGGGGAUCAAACAGGAUUAGAUACCCUGGUAGUCCACGCCGUAAACGAUGAGUGCUAAGUGUUAGGGGGUUUCCGCCCCUUAGUGCUGCAGCUAACGCAUUAAGCACUCCGCCUGGGGAGUACGACCGCAAGGUUGAAACUCAAAGGAAUUGACGGGGACCCGCACAAGCGGUGGAGCAUGUGGUUUAAUUCGAAGCAACGCGAAGAACCUUACCAAAUCUUGACAUCCUUUGACAACUCUAGAGAUAGAGCCUUCCCCUUCGGGGGACAAAGUGACAGGUGGUGCAUGGUUGUCGUCAGCUCGUGUCGUGAGAUGUUGGGUUAAGUCCCGCAACGAGCGCAACCCUUAAGCUUAGUUGCCAUCAUUAAGUUGGGCACUCUAAGUUGACUGCCGGUGACAAACCGGAGGAAGGUGGGGAUGACGUCAAAUCAUCAUGCCCCUUAUGAUUUGGGCUACACACGUGCUACAAUGGACAAUACAAAGGGCAGCGAAACCGCGAGGUCAAGCAAAUCCCAUAAAGUUGUUCUCAGUUCGGAUUGUAGUCUGCAACUCGACUACAUGAAGCUGGAAUCGCUAGUAAUCGUAGAUCAGCAUGCUACGGUGAAUACGUUCCCGGGUCU
Molecule: ribosomal RNA, 1371 nt
Filed under: uncultured bacterium
Lineage: Bacteria
Description: bacterial SSU rRNA
Rfam family: Bacterial small subunit ribosomal RNA
Source: RNAcentral